GACGAACGCUGGCGGCGUGCCUAAUACAUGCAAGUAGAACGCUGAAGGAGGAGCUUGCUUCUCCGGAUGAGUUGCGAACGGGUGAGUAACGCGUAGGUAACCUGCCUGGUAGCGGGGGAUAACUAUUGGAAACGAUAGCUAAUACCGCAUAACAGUAGAUAUUGCAUGAUAUCUGCUUGAAAGGUGCAAUUGCAUCACUACCAGAUGGACCUGCGUUGUAUUAGCUAGUUGGUGGGGUAACGGCUCACCAAGGCGACGAUACAUAGCCGACCUGAGAGGGGGAUCGGCCACACUGGGACUGGGACACGGCCCAGACUCCUACGGGAGGCAGCCGUAGGGAAUCUUCGGCAAUGGACGGAAGUCUGACCGAGCAACGCCGCGUGAGUGAAGAAGGUUUUCGGAUCGUAAAGCUCUGUUGUAAGAGAAGAACGAGUGUGAGAGUGGAAAGUUCACACUGUGACGGUAGCUUAACAGAAAGGGACGGCUAACUACGUG
This 495-nucleotide ribosomal RNA is filed under the name uncultured bacterium. RNAcentral describes it as "partial 16S ribosomal RNA". It matches the Rfam family "Bacterial small subunit ribosomal RNA", at positions 28 to 507 of the family's 1533-position model. The record is from RNAcentral.